Camillea tinctor is the source of this 93-nucleotide non-coding RNA. The record is from the annotation of a GenBank genome assembly. Lineage: Eukaryota; Fungi; Ascomycota; Sordariomycetes; Xylariales; Graphostromataceae.
GGCGUGGUGGUCUAGUGGUAUGAUUCUCGCUUAGGGUAACACCCUAUGCUUCCAGCUUGCGAGAGGUCCCGGGUUCAAUCCCCGGCCAGGCCC